Molecule: non-coding RNA, 900 nt
Filed under: Lerista anyara (Olkola slider skink)
Lineage: Eukaryota; Metazoa; Chordata; Lepidosauria; Squamata; Scincidae
Source: RNAcentral
AACAUAAAGUUUUGGUCCUAAACUUGCCCUUGUUUUUUAUCAAAAUUACACAUGCAAGCUUCCACACACCAGUGAGAAUGCCCAAACACCCCUAAUCAGCCAACCGGAGCAGGUAUCAGGAUACAACACUAUUUUAGCCAAAGACACCUUGCUUAUGCCACACCCACACGGGUUUUCAGCAGUGAUUAACAUUAAAACAUGAGCGAAAGCUCGACUUAGUUAUGAUAAACAUGGUCGGUAAAUUUCGUGCCAGCCACCGCGGUUAUACGAAAGACCAAAAACAAGGGCCAACGGCGUAAAGCGUGACUUGGGCAAAAAUAAUUAAAGGGGCACAGCGGCCAAGUCGUAAAACACUACUGCACGCUAGAACCUCAACAAAAUACCUUUAAUAUACCUCACCUCACGAAAGCUAAGAAACAAACUGGGAUUAGAUACCCCACUAUGCUUAGCCCUAAACACAGAUAGUACAAACACAAUACUAUCCGCCAGAGAACUACAAGCGAAAAGCUCGAAACUCUAAGGACUUGGCGGUGCUUCAAACCAACCUAGAGGAGCCUGUCCUAUAAUCGAUACCCCACGUUCUACCUCACCCCUCCUAGCCAACCAGCCUAUAUACCGCCGUCGCCAGCCCACCUUGUGAAAGAAACAAAGUGGGCAAAACAAUUUUUAAUUAAUACGUCAGGUCAAGGUGUAGCAAACGGAGCGGAAGAGAUGGGCUACAUUUCUUCAAAGAAGAAACACGAAUAGUGUAUUGAAAUACACACUUGAAGGCGGAUUUAGUAGUAAGAUAAACAAGAAUAAUUAUCUAAAACCUGCUCUGAAGCGCGCACACACCGCCCGUCACCCUCAUCACAUGUAAUACAACAUAAAAUAUUAUACACAGUACAACUCAAAUGAGGC